UUUUUAGGUUUUUCAGCUGUGAUACCAUACCAAUAAAUUCCCCUUGUAGAAGCUUGAACCUUGAAGAUUAAUCAUGCAUUCUUCUAAAUGAACUAUUUUUGGUGUAGUUUGGGUCCCAUCUGUGCUUAAAGAUUCAAUUUGUAGUACUCAAGUUCAGCUUUUUGUUUUUUAUUUUGCACAAUAGUCAAAAGGGCUUUCAUUUUGUAAUCUCUUUUCCCCCUUUUUAAGUUAUACAUGGAUCUCAACACUGUCCAAUUUCAAGAUUCUCUGUUAAAUCCAUGGUGGUAACUUCCCAAUUUGUUGCAAGAUUCUGAGAUUUUCAUGGUGAUAAGUAUAAGGUGGCAAAACG
Molecule: long non-coding RNA, 349 nt
Filed under: Lathyrus oleraceus (garden pea)
Lineage: Eukaryota; Viridiplantae; Streptophyta; Magnoliopsida; Fabales; Fabaceae
Description: Pisum sativum (pea) long non-coding RNA (PSAT_LNC041256)
Source: RNAcentral